This 468-nucleotide ribosomal RNA is filed under the name uncultured bacterium. RNAcentral describes it as "partial 16S ribosomal RNA". It matches the Rfam family "Bacterial small subunit ribosomal RNA", at positions 28 to 507 of the family's 1533-position model. The record is from RNAcentral.
GACGAACGCUGGCGGCGUGCUUAACACAUGCAAGUCGAACGGAAAGGCCCUGCUUUUGUGGGGUGCUCGAGUGGCGAACGGGUGAGUAACACGUGAGUAACCUGCCCUUGACUUUGGGAUAACUUCAGGAAACUGGGGCUAAUACCGGAUAGGAGCUCCUGCUGCAUGGCGGGGGUUGGAAAGUUUCGGCGGUUGGGGAUGGACUCGCGGCUUAUCAGCUUGUUGGUGGGGUAGUGGCUUACCAAGGCUUUGACGGGUAGCCGGCCUGAGAGGGUGACCGGCCACAUUGGGACUGAGAUACGGCCCAGACUCCUACGUGAGGCAGCAGUGGGGAAUAUUGCACAAUGGGCGGAAGCCUGAUGCAGCAACGCCGCGUGCGGGAUGACGGCCUUCGGGUUGUAAACCGCUUUCGCCUGUGACGAAGCGUGAGUGACGGUAAUGGGUAAAGAAGCACCGGCUAACUACGUG